GAAUCGCGAUAGGAAUUGCGAAUUGCAGAAUUCAGUGAAUCAUCGUAACUUUGAACGCAAACUGCGCCUUUGGGUUGACCGAAGGCAUGCCUCUUUGAGUGUCGGUCAAAUUUUUUGAAAUUUUCAAAAAUUGAGAGUCGGAAGUCUCUUAAAGUAUGAGUGCAUAAACUUGUGAGGCGUUGCUUUGGGAAUUUGAAUGGAGCUGUAAAGGAUUCAUGCAUACCCAAAGUUUGUCGAUCAAGUGCGAUUCAGUGUUUACACAAUUGCUUGACCAUCGACCUCAAAUGAGGUAAGACUACCCGCUGAACUUAA
RNAcentral lists this unclassified non-coding RNA (312 nucleotides) under uncultured fungus. RNAcentral's name for it is "sequence contains ITS1". The stretch from base 1 to 104 matches the Rfam family "5.8S ribosomal RNA", at positions 50 to 154 of the family's 154-position model. Lineage: Eukaryota; Fungi. The record is from RNAcentral.